UUGGAAACUGUGAGACUCAUCCUUGCAUUGGCUGCUCAAAUGGGUUGGGAAAUCCACCACAUGGAUGUUAAGUCUGCAUUUUUGAAUGGUGAAUUGGAGGAGGAGGUCUAUGUUCAGCAACCACCUGGUUUUAUUGUGCAAGGCAAAGAGGAGAAGGUGUUGAAACUUAGUAAAGCACUGUAUGGGCUGCACCAAGCUCCUCGGGCAUGGAAUGCAAAGUUGGAUAACACAUUAACUAAACUUGGUUUUGAGAAGUGUCCAUCUGAGCAUGCUGUGUACAAGAGAACCGGGCUGUUAGUGGGAGUGUAUGUCGAUGAUCUCAUUAUCACCGGAGAGAAUGCAAAGGACAUUGAGGCUUUCAAAGAGCAGAUGCAAACCAUGUUCAACAUGAGUGACCUUGGCUUGUUGAGUUAUUAUCUUGGAAUAGAGGUAAAGCAAUCAACUCAUGGCAUUUUUAUUUGUCAAUCUGCAUAUGCAUCCAGAAUUCUUGAGAAAUGUGGGAUGGAGAAUUGCAACCCAAUCCAAACACCCAUGGAAAAUAAACUGAAAUUGAGCAAGUCAAGCACUGCACCGGGAGUGGAUAGUACACGCUACCGGAGCAUCGUCGGCAGCCUGAGGUAUUUGGUUCACACCCGACCAGAUAUAUGCUAUGCCGUGGGGAUUGUCAGUUGUUACAUGGAGCGGCCGACGACAGAGCAUAUGGCUGCUGUAAGGCACAUAUUGAGGUAUGUGCGUGGCACACUGCAGUAUGGGUGCAUGUAUAGGAGGGAGCAGAACACCCCGCUGCAGCUGAUCGGUUAUAGUGACAGUGAUCUUGGAGGUGACGUUGAUGACAGAAAAAGCACCAGCGGAACCAUGUUCUAUCUCAGCUCAAGCCCGAUCAGCUGGACAUCACAAAAACAAAAGAUCGUUGCU
Molecule: ribosomal RNA, 915 nt
Filed under: Triticum aestivum (bread wheat)
Lineage: Eukaryota; Viridiplantae; Streptophyta; Magnoliopsida; Poales; Poaceae
Description: partial small subunit ribosomal RNA
Source: RNAcentral